Molecule: ribosomal RNA, 253 nt
Filed under: uncultured bacterium
Lineage: Bacteria
Description: partial 16S ribosomal RNA
Rfam family: Bacterial small subunit ribosomal RNA
Source: RNAcentral
UACAGAGGGUGCGAGCGUUUGUCCGGAAUCACUGGGCGUAAAGGGCGCGUAGGUGGCGCGACAAGUCAGUGGUGAAAGUUCGACGCUCAACGUCGAAUCGGCCACUGAUACUGUUGGGCUUGAGCACUGUAGAGGCUAAUGGAAUUCCGGGUGUAGCGGUGGAAUGCGUAGAGAUCCGGAAGAACACCAGUGGCGAAGGCGGCCCGCUGGGCAGUGGCUGACGCUGAGGCGCGACAGCGUGGGGAGCAACAGG